GGUCCUUUCGUCUAACGGUUAGGACGCAAGAUUUUCAUUCUUGUAAUACGGGUUCGAUUCCCGUAGGGACUA
This 72-nucleotide transfer RNA is filed under the name Bacteroidales bacterium. RNAcentral's name for it is "tRNA-Glu". It matches the Rfam family "tRNA". From Rfam's summary of the family: Transfer RNA (tRNA) molecules are approximately 80 nucleotides in length. Their secondary structure includes four short double-helical elements and three loops (D, anti-codon, and T loops). Lineage: Bacteria; Pseudomonadati; Bacteroidota; Bacteroidia; Bacteroidales. The record is from RNAcentral. RNAcentral also lists the same sequence under 1 other name.